This 73-nucleotide transfer RNA is filed under the name Vibrio cholerae. RNAcentral describes it as "tRNA-Asn". It matches the Rfam family "tRNA". Rfam says of the family: Transfer RNA (tRNA) molecules are approximately 80 nucleotides in length. Their secondary structure includes four short double-helical elements and three loops (D, anti-codon, and T loops). Lineage: Bacteria; Pseudomonadati; Pseudomonadota; Gammaproteobacteria; Vibrionales; Vibrionaceae. The record is from RNAcentral.
UCCUCCUUAGCUCAGUCGGUAGAGCGACGGACCGUUAAUCCGCAGGUCGCUGGUUUAAGUCCAACAGGAGGAG